UCCGUGUUAACCACGGCAGUCUCUUUAGAGUGCCCAACUGAAUGCUGGCAACUAAAGACAAGGGUUGCGCUCGUUGCGGGACUUAACCCAACAUGUCACCACACGAGCUGACGACAGCCAUGCAGCACCUGUCUCUCUGUCGUAUUGCUACGAAGGCCGUAUCUCUACGGAUGUCAGAGGAUGUCAAACCCAGGUAAGGUUCUUCGCGUUGCUUCGAAUUAAACCACAUGAUCCACCGCUUGUGCGGGCCCCCGUCAAUUCCUUUGAGUUUUAGUCUUGCGACCGUACUUCCCAGGCGCGGUACUUAUCGCGUUAGCUCCGGCUCUGCAGGGGUCAAGACCCGCAAAGCCUAGUACCGAUCGUUUACGGCGUGGACUAC
Molecule: unclassified non-coding RNA, 379 nt
Filed under: uncultured Oligoflexales bacterium
Lineage: Bacteria; Pseudomonadati; Bdellovibrionota; Oligoflexia; Oligoflexales
Description: contains 16S-23S intergenic spacer region
Source: RNAcentral